Molecule: ribosomal RNA, 433 nt
Filed under: uncultured bacterium
Lineage: Bacteria
Description: partial 16S ribosomal RNA
Rfam family: Bacterial small subunit ribosomal RNA
Source: RNAcentral
AACGAACGCUGGCGGCAUGCCUAACACAUGCAAGUCGAACGAGACCUUCGGGUCUAGUGGCGCACGGGUGCGUAACGCGUGGGAACCUGCCCUUAGGUUCGGAAUAACUCCCCGAAAGGGGUGCUAAUACCGGAUAAUGUCUUCGGACCAAAGAUUUAUCGCCUUUGGAUGGGCCCGCGUUGGAUUAGCUAGUUGGUAGGGUAAAAGCCUACCAAGGCGACGAUCCAUAGCUGGUCUGAGAGGAUGAUCAGCCACACUGGGACUGAGACACGGCCCAGACUCCUACGGGAGGCAGCAGUGGGUAAUAUUGGACAAUGGGCGAAAGGCUGAUCCAGCAAUGCCGCGUGAGUGAUGAAGGCCUUAGGGUUGUAAAGCUCUUUUACCCGGGAUGAUAAUGACAGUACCGGGAGAAUAAGCUCCGGCUAACUCCGUG